Molecule: ribosomal RNA, 317 nt
Filed under: uncultured bacterium
Lineage: Bacteria
Description: bacterial SSU rRNA
Rfam family: Bacterial small subunit ribosomal RNA
Source: RNAcentral
GACGAACGCUGGCGGCGUGCUUAACACAUGCAAGUCGAGCGGUAAGGCCCUUUCGGGGGUACACGAGCGGCGAGCGGGUGAGUAACACGUGGGUGACCUGCCCUCAGCUCUGGGAUAAGCCUGGGAAACCGGGUCUAAUACCGGAUAUGACUCCAUGACGCAUGUUGUGGGGUGGAAGGCCUUGUGCGGCUGAGGAUGGGCCCGCGGCCUAUCAGCUUGUUGGUGGGGUGANGGCCUACCAAGGCGACGACGGGUAGCCGGCCUGAGAGGGCGACCGGCCACACUGGGACUGAGACACGGCCACGACUCCUACGGGA